GUGCUUGCUUCAGCAGCACAUAUACUAAAAUUGGAACAAUACAGAGAUGAUUAGCAUGGCCCCUGUGCAAGGAUGACAUGCAAAUUUGGGAAGCGCUCCAUAUUUUU
Molecule: small nuclear RNA, 107 nt
Filed under: Phascolarctos cinereus (koala)
Lineage: Eukaryota; Metazoa; Chordata; Mammalia; Diprotodontia; Phascolarctidae
Source: RNAcentral